UACGUAGGUGGCAAGCGUUGUCCGGAUUUAUUGGGUUUAAAGGGUGCGUAGGCGGUCCAUUAAGUCGGUUGUGAAAUACGGCAGCUUAACUGUCGAGGUGCAAUUGAUACUGGAGGACUUGAGUACAGACGAGGUAGGCGGAAUUGACGGUGUAGCGGUGAAAUGCAUAGAUAUCGUCAAGAACACCGAUAGCGAAGGCAGCUUACUAGACUGUAACUGACGCUGAGGCACGAAAGUGCGGGGAUCAAACAGG
This 253-nucleotide ribosomal RNA is filed under the name uncultured bacterium. RNAcentral describes it as "partial 16S ribosomal RNA". It matches the Rfam family "Bacterial small subunit ribosomal RNA", at positions 524 to 776 of the family's 1533-position model. The record is from RNAcentral.